GCGGCCGUGGCACAACCCGGUACUGCGUCGGUCUCGAAAACCGAUUUCCGCAAGGAUAUCCCGGUUCAAAUCCGGGCGGCCGCG
RNAcentral lists this transfer RNA (84 nucleotides) under Candidatus Woesearchaeota archaeon. RNAcentral's name for it is "tRNA-Ser". It matches the Rfam family "tRNA". Rfam says of the family: Transfer RNA (tRNA) molecules are approximately 80 nucleotides in length. Their secondary structure includes four short double-helical elements and three loops (D, anti-codon, and T loops). Lineage: Archaea; Nanobdellati; Candidatus Woesearchaeota. The record is from RNAcentral.